This 468-nucleotide ribosomal RNA is filed under the name uncultured bacterium. Its description in RNAcentral is "partial 16S ribosomal RNA". It matches the Rfam family "Bacterial small subunit ribosomal RNA", at positions 28 to 507 of the family's 1533-position model. The record is from RNAcentral.
GACGAACGCUGGCGGCGUGCUUAACACAUGCAAGUCGAACGGAAAGGCCCUGCCUUUGUGGGGUGCUCGAGUGGCGAACGGGUGAGCAACACGUGAGUAACCUGCCCCUGACUUUGGGAUAACUUCAGGAAACUGGGGCUAAUACCGGAUAGGAGCUCCUGCUGCAUGGUGGGGGUCGGAAAGUUUCGGCGGUUGGGGAUGGACUCGCGGCCUAUGAGCUUGUUGGUGGGGUAGUGGCAUACCAAGGCUUUGACGGGUAGCCGGCCUGAGAGGGGGACCAGACACAUUAGGACUGAGAUACGGCCCAGACUCAUACGGGAGGCAACAGUGGGGAAUAUUGCACAGUGGGCGGAAGCCUGCUACAACAACGCCGCGUGCGGGGAGACGGCCUUCGGGUUGUAAGCCAAUAUCGCCUGUGACGAGGCGUGAGUGACGGUAAUGGGUGAAGAAGCACCGGCUAACUACGUG